This 43419-nucleotide long non-coding RNA is filed under the name Phoenix dactylifera (date palm). RNAcentral describes it as "long non-coding RNA (PDAC_LNC000439)". The stretch from base 1 to 297 matches the Rfam family "Plant signal recognition particle RNA". Lineage: Eukaryota; Viridiplantae; Streptophyta; Magnoliopsida; Arecales; Arecaceae. The record is from RNAcentral.
GUUGCGGGAGCUUGUAACCCGAGUGGGGGCAUUAAAGUGGUUCGGAUGUUGGGUCACGCUCCCGAGUCUGGGUUCAAGUGGUGCGAAUGGUUGGCUAGCCCGUUCCAAGUGGAGUAGCGAGAUAUGCGCCUUGAGCGAAAGCUUGGGUCGCGCAUCUCCUGAAGAGGAGGGAACAGCGUUAGGCUGGUUUCACAGAGCAGCGAACACCUCCCGCUCUCAACAGUGGAAGGACAACUAGCCGCCGCCCCUGAGGCCCUCCGCGGCUCGCGGGCAGACCAAUAGCGGACAACCACUUUUUUUUUUUCUAAUUUUUUUUUGUGGGUAAAUUAUCUCUAUUCUCACUUUUAAUGAAUUCAUAUUUGACUAUUAGUUAUUAUAUUUUUUAGGUAUAAAAGAAUUGCUAACCAAGUUGCAAGAUUCAUCCGAGACAUAAUUUCAAGCUAGAUAUGAACAUUUUGAUUUGGGUCACACUUGGAUGAGUCUUUGGCUUUAACAGUUUUUAUUGGCCGGGCCAAAGCUUGUCCAAUCGAGUUAGCCCGAGUCCAAAAUCAUGACCCAAAAGGUAAGCAAGAUGGGUCCGGCUUAGUGUCAGCCCUACCCAUUUGCAGAUAUAGGCAUUCAGCAGUAGUCUAUAUAUUCAAUGUGUCAUCUGCUAGCGUGACAUCCAAUUCCAAAUUCAACAAGGACAUAGGUAUAUAUUAUCGUCAUCUAGUAAUACAUAAAUGUCAACAAAUUAUGAGGCUAUAACUAUAGUCAUGCUUUUUUUUGCUCCACCAUAAUGAAGGAUAGCAAGCUUCCCAUCCCAGUGAUUCCAAGCACCACUUUUGUACCUUGUCCUGAGGGUAAUUAGCACACACACCCCCUAUCCUGCUCCUGUCCUACCUAUCAAAGACCAAGCCACUAAGUCCCACCAAUCCAUCACAAUCCUCUGAUUAACCAUCAGAUGUCUCCCAUCAUGUUAUGUUAGCUGCAUAGCAUUGAUUGAUGCUACUUAACCAGUGUAGCUUAAGGGUCUAAUUGUACAAUUCCUGCUCCAUAUCAGAACUAAUUCUAGGGCACCACAAUCCGAGUCUGCCAAUCAGACAUCUUAUUCACAUGAUAACAGUUCUGAAAGUCUUUCUGAACGAGCUUAAUCACACUCGAGGUCUUCUUGUUGCCCACAAGAAUAUGAGCUUAGUUUCUGUGUUUUUAUUGUUUUGUUCAGUUAUUACUAAAUUUCAUCAGAAUCUGUCAGAACUGGAUCUGUCUAUAGGUGGACACAACGAAACUUAUUUUCCUAAUCUCCGAUGUUCUAAUUCUACAAACCACAAACCUCCCAGACUGCCAUCUAGGAUCAGAAAUCCAAAGUCUUGAGCUUCCUAGAAAUCCUUGAUUUGAUAAUAGGGCUAAUCUCCUCGAUUCUGACAUCUAGAAUUCUCAUCACUUGUUGCAAAUAUUCCAUGUCCUUUUAUGCAAACCUUUUACCACUUAAAUUUCAUGAAAAGUUCCGAUGCAGUAUAGGUGGGAUAAGGCUUGCAGGUUGGAAACUUUCAUCCAGAUUAACCAUUAGAAAGAAAAACUAAUUUGCAUUAGUGAAGGAUUCAACUCAUGAUAAGGUCUUGCCCAAAGAAAUGAAAGAAGGCUGGUCGUUAUGCUCUGACAACCAGCUGACUAUAAAUAUUGACGAAUUUAUUUGAUUAUGACCCAACUUUCAGGUUCGUCCCAAUACGAAGGAAACAAAACCCACGGCCUUUGCAAAACCAUAGAUUGCCAGAAGCCAUGUGACGAGGCAUGCAGCUCAAAAUGAGCCUGCCUGCGCAAAAGGAGGAGAUCAGGCUUCGAGAUGCCAUGAACAGUGUUGGGGGAAUGUAAGUCGCUCCCUAAGCACUUGAGCGCGCCAACGGCCCACGACCUCGGAAUCGCCCGACCCCGGACAUCCGACCGGACGCCCGACCGCGUCCGACCUGGCGCCCCGCCAGGCGUCUAACUUCAGAGCUCUUGACCUCGGAAGUCCGACCUCGUCGCUUACCUACCGCGGUCGCAUCCUUCGGAAGUCCGGUCAUGGGCCAUACCCUGUCACCGCCCCCAGCAUUCAAUGCGCAUGGUCUUUGCAGACCCCCGGCUCACUCAACGUUUAAUGUAUAUCUCCGGCUCACUCAACAAUUAAUGCAUAUCUCCGGCUUACUCAACAAUUAAUGUAUAUCUCCGGCUCACUCAACAAUUAAUGCAUAUUUUCGGCUUACUCCACAAUUAAUGCGCGUGGCUCCUAUUAUCUACGGAUCUUCGGUCCUCCACGGCAAAUCAGCUCGGCAGUGUUCGGUCAGCCGUGACAACUCUCUGAUCCCGGCCUCACCUCCGACAUCAAGGUAUUAAUUCACCUGAUCGCGCGCCAACUCAUGCGACGUGCUAAGCCGUACGGCAACCUCGCCCCAUCACAUCACAGGUAACCCAACACUCCCUAUAAAAAGGGGACCCCUCCAUCCUAGAGGGGGUUGGACUCUGAAACCCGAAAAAGUAUAUCUUCCUCCUCUCUCCUCCCCCACAGAUUGGCCCCCUCUGACUUAAGCAUCGGAGGGCCGGCGCCGGAAACCCCAGCCACCGGCUUUCUUGCAGAUCUCUCGGAGGAUGCUGCCCGCCGACGGAUCACCGCCCGCCAGUUCUCGCCGGAGCUCCUCCUUCCCGCGGACAGGUCAUCCCCGGGUCCCGUUUCCAGCAACAGUUGGCGCUAGAGGAAGGGUCCGAGUCGCGGCCAUGAAGUUGAGAAGUAAAGGAGCCUCCAACGCUUUCCGGCGUCUUCCGUCAAGUCCUGGACACUCUGUCCAGAACUCACUUUCUUCGGCUGAUCCGGUUUCUCAAGUUCAACCGGAGCAGUUCAACGUCCUGGUGCAGCAAGUCCAGGCUUUGGCCGCCGCCGUCCAAGGCCUGCGGCAUGAGGAAGCCCCACCUACGCUGCCUCCGCAGGCCCAGAUCCCGCCGGAGCUUCCUCCGAAUGGCCCGAUCCUCCUGGGCCAGAAUCUUCAUGGCUCUUCCAGGGCCAAUAACGAAGAAAGAGCGUCACCCCAGAGAGAGCUGCCAGGGGGAAGCCUAGACAGAAGACUGCAGCUCUUAGAAGCCGAGUCGGCCCCGGACCGCCGCGAGUCGGAGCAGACUACUGUGGCAAUCUCCCAGGCCGGGGAGCUCGAUAGGAAGGUCGAGAAUCUUGAGCGCCAGAUCGAGGCGCUUCACAGCAGAAAGGCAAGGCNNNNNNNNNNNNNNNNNNNNNNNNNNNNNNNNCCCCUUUUCCCGCCAGAUCGAGGAUGAGCCGGUUCCACCCAGAUUCAAAAUGCCCCAGGUGGAGCCCUACCACGGGACUACCGACCUCCUCGAUCAUUUGGAGAGCUACCGAGCCCUCAUGGCAUUGCAAGGGUCUUCGGAGGCCGUGCUCUGCAAGGCCUUCCCAGCUACUCUGCGGGGAUUGGCUCGGCUUUGAUUUUCGGGACUGAAGCCGAGCACAGUCUCCUCUUUUGAGCAGCUCGGCAGGCAGUUUGCCACCAACUUCGUUGCCAGCCGGCGCCAGCGGCGAACGUCGGACUCGCUCCUGGACGUCAAGCAGCGGGAGGGAGAAUCUCUCAGGGAGUAUCUCGACCGUUUCACCGCUUCAACCUGGGAGGUCCGCGAGCUCGACCAGUCGAUAGCCAUGUCGGCGCUGAAGACUGGGGCUCGCUCCUACAGAUUUCUCUUCUCUAUCAAGAAGAGCUUCCCUGCCGACUUCACCGAGAUGCUGGCCCGAGCUCGAAAAUACGCGAAGGCCGAGGAGGCUAUCGCCUCUAGGCGAGGUGCGAUCGAGCCGGCUUCCAAGAAGCAGAAGAAGCGCCACGAGGAACGUGGCCACCCGGAAAGUCGAUCUCCCCGCCAGGAUGGGAACCUGCCUCGACUAAGGAGCCCGCCUCGGCAGCAGAGACGGUUUCGAUCAAGGUCCCAGCCUCGACCCAGAUCCCCGCUACGGCCUCGGAUGCACUCGGGGAGGUACGAGAACUACACUCCCAUCAACGCAUCUCGGGCCGAGAUCCUGAUGGAGAUCGAAGGUCGGGAUUUCUUCCGACCCCCACCCCCGAUGCGGGACAUAGGAGUCCCGCGUAAUCCCAGAAAGUACUGCCGCUUCCACCGGGACCACGGCCAUGAUACGGAGGAUUGUUUCCAGCUCCGAGACGAGAUUGAGGCGCUCAUCCGCCGCGGGGUACUCAACCGGUUCGUGCGGGGCCGGCGUGAGGAAAGGAGGCCGGCAGAAAACGCCGUACAACCCGAAAAUCCAAAUGAUAAUAGGCCCAUCGCCGGCACCAUCAAUGUAAUUGGAGGAGGAAGCCCGGCUGGAGAGCCAGCCCAAGAGGGGAUUCCCCCAAAGCGCCCGCGCACUUCCGAAGCCAUCUCGUUCUCGGACAAGGAUUUGGAAGGGGUUGAGACCCCUCACGAUGAUGCUGUGGUCAUCUCUAUAAUUGUAAACAAGUUUGAUGUAAAGCGUGUCUUAGUUGAUAAUGGAAGCUCGGCUAAUGUUUUGUACUUUGACGCCUAUUCUAGAAUGGGGAUGGCAGAGAAGCAAUUACAGAGGAUGAACGCCCCGCUGGUCGGAUUUACUGGAGACUCAGUUCCAGUGGAGGACGAGAUCGAUCUCCUGAUCACGGUCGGGCUCGCCCCCCGAGAGAGUACCGUGAGGAUGGAUUUCCUCGUGGUGCGUUUGCCCUCGGCCUAUAAUGCCAUCCUUGGAAGACCAGGGCUCAACGCUCUUCAAGCCGUGGUCUCAACCUGCCACCUACUUAUGCGGUUCCCCACCGGCCAAGGAGUCGGCGAAGUCCGUGGGGACCAGGCGGUAGCAAGGCGAUGCUACAUGGCGACCCACGAAGCGAAACAACCAGCCAAAGUGUCGGCCUCGACAUUAGAUGGCAAGCUCGCGGCCGAAACCUUAGAGGCACGGGUCGGCCCACAGAAGAAGCGGGUAGAGCCUGGUGAGCUACUCACCCAAAUUUCCUUACGAGAAAAUUGCCCUGAGCUAACCGUGCAGGUCGGCUCCGGCCUUGAUGCCCGCGAAAGGGAACGCCUUAUCAACUUUCUACAGGCCAACAUGGACGUCUUCGCCUGGUCGCCUGCCGACAUGCCGGGAAUAGAUCCGGAGGUCGCAGUCCACCGACUCCAAGUAAAACCGACCUGUAAGCCCGUGCGACAAAAGAAGCGAAAUGCCGCUCCAGAGCGACAACGAGCAGCGGCCGAGGAAGUCGACAAACUCCUCAAGGCCGGCUUCAUCCGGGAGAUAUCUUAUCCGGAGUGGCUCGCCAAUGUGGUCCUCGUCGAAAAGGCUAGCGGAAAGUGGCGCAUGUGCGUGGACUACACCGACCUGAACAAGGCUUGCCCGAAGGACAGCUUGCCACUCCCUAGCAUCGACCAGCUCAUGGACUCUGCCUCGGGACAUGAGCUGUUGACAUUCAUGGACGCCUUCUCAGGGUACAACCAGAUACGGAUGGCGCCGGAAGAUGAAGAAAAGACAGCCUUUAUUACUGACGGGAGCACCUAUUGUUACAAAGUGAUGCCCUUCGACUUAAAGAAUGCUGGAGCAACUUAUCAAAGGCUGAUCAGCCAAAUCUUCAAAGACCAAAUAGGCCGAAACAUGGAGGUCUAUGUCGACGACAUGCUGGUAAAGAGUCGAAUGACGAAGGAUCAUGUGGCUGACCUCGACGAAGCAUUCUCCAUGCUUCGAAAGCACCGGAUGAAGCUCAAUCCCGCGAAAGGUGCAUUUGGAGUCACCUCGGACAAGUUCUUCGGCUUUGUGAUCACCCAACGGGGAAUUGAAGCCAACCCCGAGAAGAUCCGAGCGCUCCAAGAGAUGGUGCCCCCAAGGACAGUUAAAGAGGUGCAGCGGCUUACGGGACGGGUUGCAGCUCUCGGAAGAUUUGUUUCCCGAUCGGCCGAGCGUUGUCUUCCGUUCUUCGCGACUCUCAAGCGGCCGAAGAAUUUUUUGUGGUCGGCGGAGUGCCAGCAAGCUUUCGAAGAGCUUAAGCGUCUCCUCGCUUCUCCUCCUUUGCUCACAAAGCCUCAGCAGGGUGAGCUCCUUUAUCUGUACCUGGCUGUUUCUCCAGUUGCAGUGAGCUCGGUCCUGGUUUGAGAGGAGAGCAAGCUUCAGAGAUCGGUAUACUACACUAGCCGGGUCUUGAGGGAUGCCGAGACCCGAUACUCCAAGCUGGAAAAGACCAUCUUUGCCCUAGUUGUCUCGGCUCGGAGACUUCGGCCCUAUUUUCAAGCUCACACGGUGGCCGUGUUGACCGACCAGCCGAUGAAGCAGAUCCUGCAACGAUCAGACCGUGCUAGCCGAAUUACAAAGUGGGCCGUCAAGCUCGGAGAGGUCGACCUCGAGUACCGACCCAGAUCGGCGAUCAAAGCGCAGGCGCUCGCCGACUUUAUAGUCGAGUGCACUGUGCCAGACGAGGCCGAGUUCGAGCGCGCACCAACGGAGCAGACCCCGAGGUCGACGUGGACUCUGCACGUCGACGGUUCUUCGAACUCGAGGGGUAGUGGAGCGGGCCUCAUCCUCACCAGUCCAGAUGGAGUGGUCGCCGAGCAGGCUCUACGUCUCGAGUUUUCCGCCUCCAACAAUGUGGCGGAAUACGAGACACUCAUCGCCGGGCUCAAGUUGGCAAGGAAGCUGGAAGUGGAGGACCUACAGGCCUUCAGCGACUCCCAACUGGUUGUGAACCAAAUCUUGGGCGACUUCGAAGCCAGAGAGCCCACGAUGCAGGAAUAUCUUCGGAAAGUGCGGGAUCUCACCUCGACCCUGAGCUCUUUCUACAUCCAACACAUUGCCAGGUCGGAGAACCUCAGAGCAGAUCAACUGUCAAAGUUGGCAUCCUCUCGCAUGAGCGAGCUUCCCAAAGCGGCAGCGCUGGAGUACCUCCAAAAACUCAGCACGGAGAAACCCGAGCCAGCCUUUUGCAUCGAAAUCGAGCCGAGCUGGAUGGACGAGCUCGUCAGCUAUCUACAAAAUGAAGUCCUCCCCAAUGACGAACGCGAGGCUCGCCGAGUCAAGCGUCUAGCCGCUCGGUACAUAUUGUACGAAGGCAGGCUUUAUCGGAGAUCUUUCACCUCUCCCCUCCUCAGAUGCCUCCGCCCGACAGAGGCGGAUUAUGCAAUGCGCGAAGUCCAUGAAGGGAUUUAUGAAAAUCAUCUCGGAGGCCGAGCGCUGGCGCACAAGAUUUUGCGCCAGGGAUAUUACUGGCCGACACUCCAGAAGGAUACGCUAGACUUCGUCCGGAGAUGCGACCGAUGCCAGAGGAACGCCAACAUCCAACGCCGACCCUCGGCCCUGCUGACCUCGAUCAGUUCCUCCUGGCCAUUUGCCCAAUGGGGAAUUGAUAUUCUGGGACCAUUUUCCCUGGCAAUCGGGCAAAGAAAAUUUUUGGUCGUCUCCAUCGACUAUUUUACUAAAUAGGUGGAAGCCGAGCCAGUCGUCCGGAUCACCAAGCAGAAGAUGCGGGACUUCGUUUGGAAGUCAAUAAUCUGCAGAUUCGGACUCCCCCGCAUCCUUAUAUCAGACAACGGUUGCCAGUUUGACAACGCUCGCUUCAGAGAGUUCUGCUCCGAGCUCGGCAUCGACCACCGCUUCACCUCGGUCGCGCAUCCUCAGACAAAUGGAGAAACCGAGGUAACGAAUCGUACUAUUUUGCAGGGGCUCAAAGCCAGGCUCGAACAGUCCAGGGGACAGUGGGUCGAAGACCUAUACAACGUCCUGUGGGCUUAUCGGACCACGUUCCGUGUACCCACCGGCGAAACUCCUUUCAAUUUGACAUAUGAAACGGAAGCCGUCAUUCCGUUGGAGAUCGGGCUCCCUUCUCCGAGGGUAGAGCAUUAUGACGCCGACUCCAGCUUCUUGCAGCUCAGAAACAACCUGGACCUAAUCAAGGAGACAAGGAAAGCCGCCCGAAUCCGCAUGGCGAGGUACCAGCAAAAGACGGCGCAAUACUACAACGCCAAAGUCAAAGUCAAGUCCUUCAAGGUGGGAGACCUCGUCCUCAGAAGAGCUGAAGCCUCUCAGCCGACCGAGCGAGAAAAUUGGCUCCGAACUGGGAAGAGCCCUACCGGGUCGUGUGCGUCCAGCGACCCGGAGCGUACAAGCUGGAGUCUCUUGACGGGAGCCCAAUUCCACGAAGCUGGAGCUCCGAAAACCUCCGGGUGUAUCACCAAUAGAACCCCAAGGGGUUCUCUAUUUGGAGCAUAAGUCUCAUCUUUUUACAAUAACUUAUCUGCAAUUGUUUCAUUGUGCUGUGUUUCUCCUGAUGUCUAAAUAUUUCGUAAUUCUUAGACAACCCGGCCCAGCUCGGACGCCCGACACAACUCAGAUGCCCAACACAACUCGGAUGCCCGACCAAGAUCGGAUGCCCCAGCCAAGCCUGGAACGCCCAGACGCGCCGAUAUCGAGCUCGGUCUCGAUCUCCCUCAGAGACCUCGACUAAGUUCGGGAUGCCCCGAGUGUCAACCGUAGAGUCCCAAACUCCCUCGAUCUCGGAAAGCGUCGCAGGUCGACAGUGCGUCCCUAGACCCCUCGACCUUGCGCACGAUUCUCCGACUAAGGUCGGGAUGCCCCGCUGAGUCGACAGUGAGCCCAAGCUCCUUCGGCCUCGGAAAGAUGGGAUAGUACCUUCGCGGCCCUNNNNNNNNNNNNNNNNNNNNNNNNNNNNNNNNNNNNNNNNNNNNNNNNNNNNNNNNNNNNNNNNNNNNNNNNNNNNNNNNNNNNNNNNNNNNNNNNNNNNNNNNNNNNNNNNNNNNNNNNNNNNNNNNNNNNNNNNNNNNNNNNNNNNNNNNNNNNNNNNNNNNNNNNNNNNNNNNNNNNNNNNNNNNNGGGAUGCCCCGUGUGUCGACCGUAGAAUCCCAAACUCCCUUGACCUCGGGAAGCGUCACCAGGUCGACGGCGAGCCCAAGCUCCCUCGGCCUCGUGCUCGAUACCUCGACCAAGGUCGGGAUGCCCCGUGUGUCGACCGUAGAGUCCUAAACUCCCUCGACCUCGGGAAGCAUUACCAGGUCGACAGCGAGCCCGGGCUCCCUCGACCUCGGGAAGACGGGAUAAUACCUUCGCGGCCCUCUGUGACUCGACAACAGCGACGGGAUAACGCCUACGCAAGUCCCCGACGACAGCGACAUCUCCCAGCAUGCCGGUGUCCCCAGAGCGGAUCUCAGGCCAAAAAAAAAAACGCCUCUGAAAGCUGACCGAGGAACGAAACGGCCUGCUUCAACAUGGGGCACCUGAUUUCGAAGGUGCAAAAGGUACAUCCCAUUUAGCACCUGCUCCAUUACAUUUAUUUGCUUAUGUAUCGCCAGUGAGAUCCCAAUCAAGCUCGGGAUCCCUCCCGACCAAGGUCGGGAUGCUCUUCUGAACCAACCCAAGGCUGAGGUCCCGGCGACCCCGUGCAUGUUUUCUUUAUUUAUGACCUCUGAAUGAGGGCUCAGCCAAGCCCGAACACCAGGAAGUCGACGUCCGUGCGUAGCAAUGACCUCGACCUUUGAUGCUCUGGUCGACUUCAAAAGUGCCAAGGCACCCACCAUAUAUUCUUAUUUUGCUUGUCGGUACCUCGACCAAGUCCGAGGCCAAUAGCCGCGAAGACCCUAGCGGCAACUUUACUUCGGUUUACAGUCCUCUCGGGGACCGACCCUACAAUUUUUCGUGAACUUACGUCUGAAAAAGCAGAGCUCAAAAACUUGGCCGAAUACUCCAGAAGAUGAAUCUGGAAGCCUAGCAAAGCCUCUUGUGGGGUCUGAGGCCCAACUUCGGUGCUUUAAAAAUUCGAGAGCAAGGCUCAAGGACCUGGCAAACUACGAACCGAGCUCAAAGAUUUAGUGAAUUUUCCUAAGGUUUGAGCCCGGCGCCAAAAGGCUCUUCAUCGGACCUAAGCUUGAUAAUCUGGCGAACGUAAUCCGAACCUAAGUCUAUGAGUUUAGCCGAACUCCAGUACUUAGGAAAAUUCGCCAGGAGGGAAUCAACUCGGACGAUUAAAGUAAAGCCCUAUUCGUUACGCAAAGAAGAGAAAAGCAGACAUGAAUUUAUAAAGAAAGCUCUCUCAUUAAUGGAAGGCCCGAAGGUUGGAGUACAAAAUUGAGGGUCGGCCAAACAACAAGUUUGAAGGCCAACCUCGCUUAUAAUAAAAGAAAAACAAAAGAAGAUAAGUCCUAGGGGGCUACGGCCUCGUUAAUGCCAGGAUCGUCCACGACGAUCACUUGGGGGCCCUCGGCGGAACUCAGCUCGGGACCCCCCGCGGCCGGCUCAGGUACCUCCCCAGUAAGAGCCUCUUGAACCGAUCGAUCAGCCUCGGCGGCCUCGGGUUCGGCAACCUGUCCCUCAACCUCGAUUCUGGCGGCCUCGGGUUCGGCAACAUGUCCCUCGACCUCGGUUCCGACGGCCUCCUCCUCGUCCUCAAGUGCGGAGGGCAAACCGAACUCAUCACCGAAUCCUGAUUUCGACCGGAUCCCAGACAGGUCGAACUGAGGGCAAUACCGAGCCAUUUGUCUUCGAAAAUUUUCGAAGCCCCGGAGGAACCCGUCCACGGUCUCCUCCUCCAACAUAUCGCGGAACUCUUCCGACUCUUUGAAGAGCUUCCCGGCAUUCUCGGCCCGCUCGAGCGCCCUUCUCUUCCAGGCCUCAAGCUGCUCGACCUUUAGGCGGAGAACUCCACCCUCAUAUUUAUAGCCGGCGGCUUCAGAGUGGGCCUCCGCAAGACGUGCCUCAGAGUCGUGCAGCGCCGUCCUCGUUAGGGCAUGCGCGGCCCUCUCUUCCUCGAGCUCAUCGGCGAUUGCUCGCCGACCGGCCUCGGUGGCCUCCCUCCGAGCGACGGCCUCAGUUAGCGCGGCCUCCGACUCCGCGAGCUUCUUCUUGGCCGAUUCCUGUUGUUUGCGGAAUCGCCGAGACUCAUUCUAGCAUUCCGAGGCAAUGAAUACCAGAGUGUCUAUUUCAUGAAUAUGCUACAGGAAAAAUAACAAUGAGUAAGAGAAAAGAAAAUGUCGACGACUAAGGACAAAAUAAGAGGACAGCUUAUCCGAGCAGUGUUGCAGUAUGUCUGGUCGACAAUCUCUUCGAGACCGAGAUUCCUGAAGUCGGCCUGGUCGGCCGGGAGCAUUGCGCGACGAAAGACGGCGCGCGCAACGUCACCAUCCCGGAAGGCCGAGCUGCCCUCCGGGAUCGGGGAUUCCGGGUCGGCCGACUCCCUUCCGGAACACCCCCGGGGCCCCUGCUCGGCUCGGGCCCCGAGCGCCGCAGGCGCAAGGCCGGCCGACCCGCUUGUUGAGAAACGGGGGCAGGAUGUUCCGAAGGCGCCGAGUCCGAUGCCCCCCUGGAACCCGAGCUCGUAUGCUCGGCGACUGGGACCCCUUCCCGGACGGACCCCGACGCUCCGGCCUCGGAACCCCUCACCUCGGCAGGGGUAGAAGCAGCAGCCAACUUGGCCUUUUUUCUGGGCUCGGGAACAGCCCCACCUGCUUCGGCUGACCUCCGUUUCAGCCGGAAGAAGAGAGAUGUGUUGCUAGUCGGCAUUCGGGGAAUGUCUGAAAUAAAAAAAGAGAAGAAGAAAAAAUUCUAAGAAAAGAGAGAAAAAAACGAAUAAGGUAAAGACAAAACAAUGUGACCGCUCUUACCCUCCGGACGUGCCGAACUCAGGCCAACGCUCGCCAAGGCACCCUCUUUUAGGAGGUCGGUCAGGUUGAAAUCCUUCCCGAGGCCCCGCGGAGCGUUAAGGACCCUCUGCUCGCUCGCCGAGGGCUCGGAGAUCCUGUUAAGGGCCUUCAGCCGGGGGUGCCCCCACUUGGGUCGAAUCCCCAUGACACCUCGGAUGCAAGAAAGAAAAAUCUUCCCUUUCACUCAUGAAUAGAGGAAGGGGCACCUUGGAAAAGUGACAUACCGCUCCGAAAGGCGAAAUAUAGCCACUCUCCAUCCGUCGGGUUUGUCUUUAAUAAAAAACACCGGCGAAAAACGCUCACCGAAGUCGGAAUCCCGUGCGCAAGGCAAAGGGACAAGAAUCCGACGAUGGUCCUCCAUGAAUUCGAAGCAAGCUGUGCUGGGACGAGUUGGUACUCCACCAGCAGGCUGUUCACGAACUCAUGGAGAGGGAACCGUAAACUAGCCCAGAGCGUCUCGAGAUGAAUCCCGAUCCGACCUGGGGUCGGCCGCGUCACCCUAUCCUCCCGCCUCGCGGUUUNNNNNNNNNNNNNNNNNNNNGAAUCCGACGAUGGUCCUCCAUGAAUUCGAAGCAAGCUGUGCUGGGACGAGUUGGUACUCCACCAGCAGGCUGUUCACGAACUCAUGGAGAGGGAACCGUAAACCAGCCCAGAGCGUCUCGAGAUGAAUCCCGAUCCGACCUGGGGUCGGCCGCGUCACCCUAUCCUCCCGCCUCGCGGUUUUGAGAUGAAACCCGGGCCGGAAAAAGAACCGGGUACGGACCAGUUCCAGCUUCUCCCCCGACAGACUAGAUCCAAUCUCAUCCGAACCAAGACCCAUUUUAGAAGAAAGAAAAACAACCAAAAGAGGAAGAAGACGAGAAAAAGCCCAAAAAAGAAGAAGAAGAGGGACCCCCUAGCUAACGCAGGAAGGAAACCUAUGGGGGGAACCGCCGGAGAUCGCUCCGAGCACCGUCGGGGAAGCUCUGUUGCGACUGAGAAAGAAGACAAGAGGAUAGAAACGGCGGAAAAAAGGGAGCAACCAAGCAAGACCUCCCUUUGAGCCAGAUUGAGGGGUUUAUAUAAACCUUUCUAACGGCCCAGAUCGGCAGAGCUGGUUUCCACCCCUCAUCCAGAUCACGCCACGUGUCGGCCUCGGAAGCCGAAGCAGCGCAUUCAUUCUGGGCUGAUGCCUCGAGUACAGAAUCGAGGCGAUGUCCCGUCGGAUCCCGAAGCCCCAUCAUGAGCUCACUAUACGAAGCAACCUCGAAGGACGAAGGGGCAUCGCCCCCUCUUCCCCCAUUAAGGACGCCCCGAAACGUGCGGAGCGCCAGAAUAAUUUAAGAUUCACUGGUCCCCACUAGUUUAAUAAUGGCAGUUACUUUCUGAGCCCGAGCUCGCGAAACGACUCGAACUCGGAAGUCGGGGGGUAGUGUUGGGGGAAUGUAAGUCGCCCCCUAAGCACAUGAGCACGCCAACGGCCCACGACCUCGGAAUUGCCCGACCCCGGACACCUGACCUGGCGCCCGACCUCGGACGUCUGACCGGACGCCCGACCUGGCGCCCCGCCAGGCGUCUAACUUCAGAGCUCUUGACCUCGGAAGUUCGACCUCGCCAACUCAUGCGACGUGCUAAGCCGUACGGCAACCUCGCCCCAUCACAUCACAGGUAACCCAACACCCCCUAUAAAAAGGGGACCCCUCCAUCCUAGAGGGGGUUGGACUCUGAAACCCGAAAAAGUAUAUCUUCCUCCUCUCUCCUCCCCCACAGAUUAGCCCCCUCUGACUUAAGCAUCGGAGGGCCGGCGCCGGAAAUCCCGGCCACCGGCUUUCUUGCAGAUCUUCCGGAGGAUGCUGCCCGCCGACGGAUCGCCGCCCGCCAGUUCUCGCCGGAGCUCCUCCUUCCCAGCGGACAGGUCACCCCCGGGUCCCAUUUCCAGCAACAAACAAAAGCCAUGAUCAGUUCUUUGGUUCAGUGAAGAGAGAGAACAGGCAGUGGGGUGGGGAGUGGUACCAUCUCCCCAAUGGACAGUUUUGCAUCAGUGAAGAGAGAGAACAGGGAACCGAAGCUUGAGGUCGCAAGAACAAGGAUGAGGCUGACUGAUUUAGAAAAAGAUCAUGUCUCAAUGAAACAAGAGUUUGUUCACAAUGUAAAAGUAUCAUUCUAAUUGGUGAAGCCGGUCAUGAAUCCUUGACGGCUCCUAUCCCAUCUACAAUGUCCUUUUCCCUCCUACCACAUCCAGCAGCACCGAAUUUAACUCCCCUGGACCUCUCUUCACCUCCCCACCCCUCUCCAAACCCAAACGACCUCACUCAUAACCACCUCUGGCUUUCUCCAGCUCCCUCUCUCUUCUUCUCACGUUUCCAGCUGUUGCUGGAAAUGGGAUCUGGAGGCGACCGUUGGCUGAGAAGAAGAAGCUCCAGCAAGUGGUGUGGCGGUGGGCUGCGUCCUCCGGGGGACCUGCAAGAAGCAGGUGGCUGGAGUUUCCGGCGCCGGCCCUCCGAUGCUUAAGUUAGAGAGGGACUCUUAUGGAGAGAAAGAGAUAUUGCAUGUAGAAGUCAAAAGUCAGAAGUCCUCUCCUCUGAGAAGAGGGAGUCUUCCUUUUAUAGGAGGGGUGUCAGGGUUACGUGCGAUGUAACUGUGCGAAUUAAUGAGUUACCGUCAUAAUUGGACGUGAUCGUGUGAAUUAAUGAGUUGCCGUGGAUGACUGGACGUGAUUGAGUCAAUGAGUUGCCGUGGAUGACUGGACGUGAUUGAGUCAAUGAGUUGCCGUGGAUGGCUUGAGAUUUCGGGCUGGCUGGAGGUCCGUGGAGAUCGUGCGCAUUUAACUGUUAACAGUCGCUCAGGCAGAGAUCGCGGGAUUGGAUCCCGGAUAAGGAGGAGAAGGGCUUGAUUUUCGGUGAGAUGGAGAAGUCUGCUUCGUCCUUUGACCGAGUCUUCCUCGGACUUGAGGUCGAUCGGGGUUCGGCUUGGUCGAGAUCAAGGCCGCAAGCUCUGAGGUCGAGCGCCUUCAAGUCGUGCUCCUUUGAGGGUUGCUGCUAUUACGCUCGCCAUCACGUAUCGGUGAUGAAUCCACGUAUUUUGGGGCAAUUCAUUUUUCCCCCGACACCAACCAAUGUCCUCAAAAAUCUUGGACACCGCAGCACCGAAAGCUCAAGGCCACAACCCACCCUCAGUGGGCUUCUGUCGGGCUAAGCCAUCCUCAUCGUCAUCGCCAGCAACCACAGAGCCAGGGAGGUUCCUUGGUGUGAGGAGAAGGCCUUGGGGGAGGUAUGCUGUUGAGAUAAGGGACCCCACGACCAAGGAAAGGCAUUGGCUUGGGACCUUCGACCCUGCCCAAGAGGCUGCCCUGGCCUACGAUAUCGAGGGAAUGCGACGGCUACCAUGGGCAGUCUUACGGCAGCUAGGAAGCCGAUCAUUUUAGUCCCACAUCGCCUGCGUGCAAAAUAAUAUGUUCGUUUAAGAUACAGAAGUCCCGCUCCCUUGAUCGCCGAGCUUCGUUGCGGGAGCUUGUAACCCGAGUGGGGGCAUUAAAGUUGUUUGGACGCUUGGUCAUACCCCCGAGUACAGGCUCAGGUGGUGCGUAUGGAUCCGGCUAGCCCGUUCCAAGUUUGAUUAGUGAGAUGUGCGAUUUGAGCGAAGGCUUGGUUCGCGCAUCUCCUGAAGAGGAGGGAACAGCGUUAGGCUGGUAUCACAGAGCAGCGAACACCUCCCGCUCUCAACGGUGAAAGGACAGUUAGCCGCCGCCCCACUGACCCUCUUAGGCUCGCAGGCAGACCAAUUGUGGACAACCACUUUUUUUUGUCUUUUCUCCGUACCCUUAUUUCUAAGCCCCUCGAAAAAAAAUAGAAUUAGGCUUCAUAUACCUCAAAAAUAAUAUUCAUUCGAUGAGACCGCCUUCUUAAUUAAAAAAACAUAAAUCAUGGUCAGAUAUAUAUAAAAUAUACCCUCCACGCAUGCUUCUAUUCCUAUUUCCUCUACAAAAUAAUAUAUAUUUAAUUUAAUGUAAUUUCAAAAAAUAUAGCCAGAUAAAUAAGAAUAAAUUAUUUCUAUUCCAACUUCUAGUGAAUUCAUUUUUGACUAUCAAUAAUUAUAUUCUUAGGUAUAAAAGAAUUGCUAACCAAGUUGCAAGGUUCAUCCGGCAUAGUUUCAAGCUCGCCCAAUCCAGUCAGCCAACGAGUUAAGUCCGAAUCCAAAAUUAUGACCCAAAAGAUAAGCAAGCUCGGUCCGACCCAAUCCUACCCAUUUGCAGACAUAGACAAAUCAGCAGUCCCUAUAUUCAAUGUGUCAAUGUGUCAUUUGCUAGCGUGACAUCUAAUUCCAAAUUCCAUGAGGACAUAAUUGCAUAUUAUCAUCAAAUAAUACAUACAUGCCAACAAAUUAUGAGGUUACAACUAUCGUCAUGCUUCUUUUUGGUCCACCAUAAAAUUUGCACAUGCACCCCACUAUUCUGAAUUAUCUAUAACAUAUGCUCAAUAAGAUUUUCAUACACAAGAAUAAAAGAAAAUAUACAAACAACACAAACUAAACGUUUUUUAUUACAUAUAUACCAUACACAAUUACAGGCUGUAACACAUUCUCUAACAGGCAUUUUGUUGGAGAAAGAAGUUUAUCCCAGCACAAAAACACCAAAAAAGAAUGCAAAGAUGGGAAUUUUGAGGUUGAUGAAUGGACUUCUUUAAAGCCAUGACCUAAAAGUUGCGACUAUUUCUUUUACUCCCAACCGAGGCAUGGGGCUUGGAUACAGGAAUGUUAAAGGAAGUUUAGAAACUGACCAAAUAAAAAGAAUGGUGAGGAAGAACCCUAUUGGGAUGACAUGGCAUUUGAAAUGAAACAUAAACAAGCCUCGGUGAAAAAAUUGUGAAGCCUAGAUUGAUUUCAAAGAAUAAAACCGGAGGAAGUUUUGAGAAUAAUUUGAAUACCUUUAUCAACAAAUUUUAUAGACCUCGACAACUAGAGACCACUUGAAAGAAAAUGACAAAGGAUUUUUGUUUGAUUGGCAAUGAAAAACACAGGAAAACAACUAGAGUGUAGAAUAUAAAAAAAUGACAUAUGAGAAUAGAAAAUAAAAAAUUAUGCGAACUAACAAAAAGUAGAAUAAGGGAGAAAAGAUAUUUAUCUUAGACUAAAAGAGUGGUCCAAUUUUAUGAGACUACUGUAAUUGCAAACUUGAGGAGGAUCGAAUGUAAGUAGUAUCAUCCUUGCAUAUGAAUAGAUUAAUUUUGGAUGUUUUAGGUCGGAGUCACGCUUGGAGCACCACCCGAUGCUGUUUCUCCACCAUGCAACUCCAUCAGAGCAUUGUUGUGGAGGCGUGUGGCGAUCCUAUUCGAUCUUUUCAGUUCGAAUGGCAAACAACUUAGGAACUUUGACGAUACAAAUUACUUGCCGUCUGGGUCAGACCGAUUCCUAGCAGCUAUAUUUUUCAUUUGAACUUUUCCCAAUUUCUAAAGACGUGAGAAAUCGUACUUUUUUAUUGAAACUCUUAAUUACUUGCUGUGAUCCUUCCAAUCAGAUCUCCAAAUAGAUUUUUAUAUUAUUAUUAUUAUCAUUACGUUAUUACUUGAUGUGGGUGUAAGUAGAGAGGUUAUUGGCGUGGGUACAAUGCUUCUUGUUGAAGCACCGAGUUGGUUUCCAGUCUCUGCGAUGCUCAGCGGAAUACAAAUCCUAAUCUAGAUUAGAUAUGAUCGAUAAAUCUUGGUUUAAGAGGGACUUUUGAGGAUCCUCAUGGUCAAUGAAUUUUUAAUAUUGGUAGAAAUACUUGCUCUCCUAACAUAGCAUCAAAUCCUCAAAUUUCGAUCAUCCUACAUUAGCUAGCUUGGCGACAAACACUAUUUUUGUUUAAUGAGGUGAGCCUAUUUUGAGUUGUCAUAAAUCUGAAGUAGUUCACUGCAAUAGCUCAUGCAAUGUAGAUUGAGCGCUCAGUUCAUGAUGAAGUAUUUUGAGCCACCAACACCUUCUAGUCAAAGUGUUGAUCUUUCAUUAAUGCUCUAAAUAUGACAGUGAGACACAAGUGAUACAUUAGAAUACGGAUAGCAAUAACCCUCUUGCUGUUGGAGUGCAAACAUCGUAAUCAGGUGAAGAUGGUAAACUCGAAGAAAUAUCACCAAAUAAUUCUACGUGACACAUUAAUUAUUUUCACAUAGCUUGACCUUCAAAUCUUCUUAAUUUGCAAGAACCUGCUCCUUUUCUCCGACCAAGAGUCCCUGUAACAAAAAAAAAUAAAAAUAAUCUUAAAGUAAAUAAAUACUUUGUUCAUAACGGUCAUGUUUCUGUCCUCUUUAAUUAGAAAGUAAGUGCACUAACCAGCUUCAGCCCUUCAGGUAUGAGGAGGGGGGCAGCAGCAGGGAAUAAAGACUCCUGUUCCCUUCCUCUCUCUCGGCAACAAAACCUACAAUUCCGACCUCCCUGCCUUAAAAACAAUUCCACAUACCACUAAUCUACCAUAUGCAAUAGAAUGGAGCUAAAAACAUUCCCAAAUAAAUAAAAUCCACUUAUGUUUACGCCCUCGAGGAUGGCUGCACUUACUGCUGCUGGCCGCUUCGUUUUAAGGCGUUGUGGUGUUAGUGGGUUUGAAUGCCUCCGGCGGCAAGCACUACGGCUGAUGCCGCAGUCCCACUGCUGCAGCAUGCAAGAUUUCUUCAUAACUCAGCACUCGAAAAAUAAAAAAGAUAGUUUCCAAGACCUGAAUCACAAUAAGCAACAAGAACUCGAUACUCUAGUUAUCAGUCAGAAGAUAAUUCUUGCCUCAGUGAGUAAAGAUGGGCUUGUUUUGCUCUCUUUAGGGGUCCGGCAUGCCGCGUCUAACGAGCUCUCUCCAUCGUCAGCCAUGAGAAGCAAAAUCUGCCUCUCUAUAUCCAUAAAGAACUCAUCCUUUUCUCCAUCAACGUAGGGAUCCAUUUCUACAAAGGAAAGAGGGAGUUUGAUGAACUGGUGGAGCGGCAGAGACAGCGAGGAGGCUAUAUAUAGAGAGAGAUGUAACUCCAUGGGUGUGUUUCAUAUAUAAGGUUCAGUUUACGAUCCAGGGCUCGUGGGUCCAAGUUGAAUGGCUCGAUAACGACAAUGAAUCUAUCUUCUUUUUUGUGCAUACAACGAAUCUAUCCUUAUUUCCAACUUUUCCGUGUGGGCCGUGUUGGAGAUGAGACAACCUUUUGUCACCCUCCUUGUAACGCUUGCAGCCAUGACUGCCAUAUAAAAAUGUAUCAACUUAUGGGGACGAUCGGUGUUACCGUUAGCAAUAUGUGUGCGUAUACGGGUGGAAUCUGAUCACGGGUCAGAACGGACAAGAUCCUAAACAAACUCCUCGAUCGUGCCAUAGUUUAAGUUUGGCUCCAUAUUGGAUGCCCCAUAAGUGGCUUCUUUCCGAGAAAAACUGAAAACAGCUUUGAAUUAUAUCUUAAAAUCGUCAUUUUUGCUGACGUUUCAGUAUGGAUGGUGUAAUUAUUUCCAUAAAUGUCGUGUUUUUAAUAUCAGUGAUAGCCAUGACUAUCAUUAUAGAUUCUUAUGUUAAUUUUGCUAGUUUCUUGUGCAAAAAAUAGCAGAUAAUAGUUGUAACAAAUUGAAACUUAAAAAAUUAACAUGAUAUUUACUUUUAGACGCACUAAAUUAAUCAUGUAUGUAUCUUAAGGAUGGUCUUGUUUAAGCUCGACCACUCUUAUCUACAUGCACAUGCAAGUACUAUGAUCAGCCAUGCAUGAGACAAUCAUGGGACAUGCUGCAAUCAAUCAUAAGCUGGCUCAUGAGUGCACAAAUUUGCAUAUAAAGAUAUAGAAAUUUUCUUUAAACUUUCACCGAAUGAAUUUAUUGGUACUAGAUUACGUGAUAAUGGUCAAGUAAAACUUAUUGUUUGGGCCCAGCUAACAGCCCAAUUUUCAUGGGUUAGAAACUGGCCCAGGUUCAAGCUGGAUCUGGUUCGUUUCUGUUCCGGUCCGGCCGGAACCUCGCAAGCUGCAAGAAGCCUUUUAGGCUGCGGGGGUUUGGGAAAAGAUUGGAAGAGGAGGACGCGGCGGCCGAGGGAAGAGAGAUGAACACGGACAUAACAGCAUCGGUGAAGCCGGAGUACCCGGUGGUGGAUCGCAAUCCUCCCUUCACCAAGACCGUCGCCAACUUCAGCACCCUCGACUACCUCCGUCUCUCCACCAUCACCGGUGUCUCCGUCACCGUAGGCUAUCUCUCCGGUCAGUCCCGCCGGCUUCGCCCAUUCUCCCCCAAUCUUUUCUAGGGCUAGGGUUAGGGUUAGGGUUAGGGUUAGGGUUUGACAAUCGCUUUAAUUCGUGCAGGGAUUAAGCCCAACAUCCGAGGGCCCUCGAUGGUGACGGGCGGCCUGAUCGGGCUGAUGGGCGGUUUCAUGUACGCCUACCAGAACUCCGCUGGCCGGCUUAUGGGCUUCUUUCCCAACGACGGCGAGGUCGCACGUUACAAGAAGUAGAGGAAAGUCCAAUCGCCGUCGAAUAAUUCUUCAAACUGCUUUUCUGGUUUUGCUGGUUGAUUGUCUUCUAAAAGUCUUCAUAUGAUGUUUAUAACAUGAUGCUUCUGAUUUGCUUCUAUGAUUAGAGAUUUGCUUCCAAGGUCAAAAAUUCGUAGCGGGUCUCAAAUGUUAUAUAAUAAGUAUGCGAUUGCAUCAUGUGAAAUUUCUACCAUGAACUUGAGUAUGGAUGGAUGUUCUUGGAUUUUGAUGUGUUAUGGAUCAUUUGUAGUUGUGUUCUAGUCAUCAAUCUCAAGCCUGGUGUUGGUUACUCAGGGACUUUCACAUGCCUAUUCCAGAAUGUUUUCAUGUUUUAUAUUUGUAACGUUUAUGUUUUCUUUUUCUUGAUAAUGCAUGAUUGUUUUAGAUUAAUAUGUUGUUCAUUGGGUUCAUUUUUGGUGCUUUUUACAUAGUUUUAUAUUGAGAUAUGAUAUUAGCUCGCUUUUUUCAUGCAUUGAUGAAAUUCAAUCCUCCUAAUAAUUGCAACAACACUUGAUGGUUAUGAUUAUGGUAUUGAUAAAGUGCAAAUUAACACUGUGUACACUAAUAGUUCUAGAUUUCAUUCAUGUUCAUUACCAUAUCUAGAAUCUAGACAGUUCUAAAUGCAUCGUCAGAGUAAAUCUGAACUCUGUAUUGAGUGGUUUUACUCUGUGAAUUGUUACUGUUUUGCUUAAGAAUGCAAGAGAAAGGAUGUUAAUCAAAAUACUACAUUUCAGGGCAAGCUGUUGGCAUGUUGCUGUUAUCAUUUUAUCCUCAACUUGUUUUUGUGCUUGGCAAUCCAAGAGAUAGAGUGUAAACAAAAAAUGGAAAGAAACAUUUUAGUGUUUCUUGCAGGAAUCUUAAAGAGUUUCAUCUUGAGAUCCAUAAUUACGGCCUCAUGAUAGAUUAUUGUUUCCCAAAAACCAUACAUUUUGCGCUUUAGCACAUUUUCAAAGAUGCACUGUUGUGACAGAUCCAUUGUGGGGUAAUAAAUGAUAUGAUAGUUGUGUUAAAUCCCUUGAGUUAUCGGCUUUGAAAUGCACCAAAGGUUUAUUUAUUUAUGUUUGAAAGGAUGCACAUUCAUACUUCAUCAUUGCCUAUCUAUUUUGUAAAUUCAUCCCCUUUAGCUUUCUGGAUGAUUGGUAAUGUUUAGGAACAAGAGCUCCACAAACUUCCUUUGAUCAUUGACCAAAUCAAGCAAUAAUUCAACUAUAGGUUCAACACCGUCUCACACAUUAUGCAGAUUGGUAGGAGAAGAAAUGAAGGUUGGUUCAGAUUUUUCAGCUUUGCUAAUUGCUGUAGUGGGAUUUCUUUAUAGAUUGAUGUUGUGCUCAAUGAACAUAAUAGGUCUAGCUUUGUAUCAACAGCAAAUGUUCAUCCUUCCAACAUUCUAUAAAGCAAAUCUUAAAACUUACACCUAGUUGUCUAAAACGAGGUUCAUCGUGUAGUAUUAUAUGAAAGCAAUGGGCCAAUUUUGUUUAUUUGAUAUGGCUUUUGAGAGUUAGAGACUCCUUAAAGAACCUCUAUAUAGGGGCAACAAACUACUAAGGAAGUUACGAUAAUUCCAAUAUUAGCCAUCAAAAAUUUUGUUCUACUUCUUUGUUGGAGCAAACCUAUUCACUAGUUAUCAUAAAGCGUAAGCAUUGGCACACAACAACCAACCAAGGGGAUCUAAGGUACCUUUAACCAAAAUUAGCCUUGUACAACACGAAAAGCAGCCUUACAAUCUAGUUAACUUGUUCGCCAGGUUAAGAAAGUUGUGAGUUGAACCAAACCAACCAAUAUUCAGGUAUCCGAAACUUGACCUGAACAUCUAUUAUUUUUUUUCCUUUUGCUUCUGGAAGGAAAAGUUUUAGGGGUUAGGACUAAGGAUUAGGGUUUGGUCAAGGUAUCAUUAGCAGUCAUAGCAAUGGUAGAAGAAGGGUGCAUGUUUUUUUUUCCUCCUUUUUGGGAUAGGUGGUGGUUAGCGGGGUUGGAUUGGGGAAGGGUGGAGAAUAGCAAGGUAGGGGCCUAGGUAAGGGUGGGAUGGAUGGGGCUUGGUGGAGAGUGGUGAUGGCACAAAGGUAGAGCAUGGUGGAGGCAGGUGAUGGAGCAUAGAUGGAGUGACGUUGGAGGUCGAGAUGAGUUAACAACUGCAGUGAGGGUGAGUGCUUUCUUGGGUUAUAGUGCAAAGAGAGAUGGAGAUGGAGGUGGAGAUGGGGUAACGACUGCAGUGACGGUGAGUGCUUUCUUGGGUUAUUGUGUAAGAGAGAGAGAUAUGGAGGUAGGGAUGGCUAGAAGAUGAGAGAAGGAAGGAGGAGUUGUUGUGAUUGAUGAUCAUUUAAGGAAGACUUGAAGGAUUGCGGAUUGGAAAUUGCAUGGGAGAGUAGCAAAAUAUGGAAUCAAGGGUUUGGAAAAGCGGUUAUGAGAUAUUUGAUAAGUAAAUUGUUGUUGGAUAUAAAUUUUAUUUUAUAAUACAUAUAAUUUGAACAAGUCCAAUUAGGUCCACACAAAACUGAGUCUGACCUAGUUACUAGUAGGGUAAUUUGUUGGAUCAUUUUCUAGGUACAUUGGGUCAAAGAAUUUUGGCCCAUACGUGGGCUAAUUGGGUUGAAUUUGACCAAAUUCUAGCUUAUUGGUAGGCCUAUGGUCUAUGAGUUUCAUUCCAUGCUUUCAUUGGUUAAGAUACAAUUAGAUUCGACUCUUGAUUUUAGUUUUGCUAAAAUUCUCAACCAUUGAGAUCCACCAUUAGAUGCCGCAUUUUGCUCAACUAUUCAUACAUAUUUUUUUAACCAUCAAUCAUCAUCGUCAUUGUCAUCGCAUGAUGCUUAUGUUAAAUGACUGGGAAUAAAGCGAGGAAAGUUAUACGAUAACUCAAAAAGAAGUUAUAGAAAAAGGAUUACAUAGCACUGGCAGUGACUACGUGUUGCAAAAGUUAAACCUGAGUACUUGGGAUAACCAGACAAGGCAUGUUGGUUUUGGUUUGUUUUGAAACAUUAACAAUAUCCUUUGUAAUAUCUUGGUCAUGAUUUGGUUCUCUACUACAAUAGUGAACCAAGAGGGAAAAAACUGUUAUAAAUGCAUAGUAUCAAUGUUAUUUCAUGCUUAACUUCUUUUGGAGACAUUGUCCUAGUCAUUCCACUCCAUCUUUGAGCAAUUUGCAACUCUUUUCAGUAGUCUUAUGGUCUGCAUUGUAAAGGGCAUUUCUGUAAUUCUUUUUUUGAAGAAUGUCUCUUGCAUCCGUUUGAUUGUUUUCUUGCAGCAUUUUCAUCAAUAAUAAAGACUCAUGAGCUUCUUGUGGGGGAAAAUGUUCAUUUCAUUCCACCAUGAAGUAUUCUGUUGUUUUCUAGUCAAGCUCUUAAAGCCUAAGGAGGGAUUAAUAUUUUAAAGAGACAUGAACAAGGAUGCCCAGUAUCCAAACUCCAUUUUAUGACAAUAAGGCAGUGGUUAGAAGCUUAUUUGAAAAUGAUCCUUCCAUUUUUUGAGAAAAGAAAAAGUUCUUAACAUAGCACGAAUCAUGUUCUUGAAGUGAUAUUUGAAUUGUAAAGAUCCAUGUGCCUUGGUUUCCAUAGUAAGAACUGAUAUUUUACAUCCUAAAAGUUAUUGACUCCAUCAUCUCUCUAGUUAAUCUUAAAAUCGAAGAAAUAGUUCUCCAUGAUAGUUUAGAGUGGAUCUCACUCUGAUGAGAGUCAAUUUUGUUCUGAUUAUAAACCUUCCUCCAGAUUAUAAUUAUUGUCUUACUAACACAUAAUAAACAGGUGAAACUUUCCAUGAAUACAUAUUUGAAGAUAAUAUAUAAUGUUUCUGGCUUAUCAUCUGAUCUCUGAACAUAAUCAAUAGGUUUGCUAGUGCAUUGGCUUGAUUGUAGUCUGGCACAACCCAAAUCAAAUCCUUAUUGGAUUGAGACAAUAAUUUUAAUCCAAGCCUAACCUAUUGGGUCAGAAACAUUAUAUAUUAUCUUCAAGCUGAGUUAUCUAAAAUUUUAUGUAUUCAUGGAAAGUUUCACCUGAGUUAUCUAAAAUUUAUUUUGCCAGUCUAUUGGGUUUUCAAGGCUGAAUCAGGUCUAAAACAUCUAAAACACAAACCAUAAGACCUGAUUAUAGCCUAAACAUAUUAUGCAGAAGAAGAGCUGUUAAGCAACAUCUAGGUGUUAGCAACGAGGCAUUUUACACAAGAUUGAUCAACAAAUGCAUAAAGAUCAUCAUCAACUACUCAAGUUAAUGAUUAACUAAAUAAGGGUUAUUUAUCAAAAGUAAAUUACUUUCUUAAAUCCAAGGUGGUUUGUGAAAACAAACACAGUUUUCAGCUUGGAUUAUCUGUAUCCAAGCCUAAUCCAAAUGACUUUGUUUCAGAUUGGACUGGAUCAUUUUUAUACAUAUGAUACUAAAAUUAUACUAAUUUUCAUCUUGAAUUCAACAUUUCUCUUAUGUUGAAGAUUUUGACUUCAGGGUUGCUUUUUUGUUUUUCAUUCUCCUUAUUCCUGGAAUUCAAGAAGAUUUUUCUUCCUAACUAUGGUCAAUAACCUCUCUUGCAGUUGUCAUCUCCAUGUUCUCCGUCCUAUAUAGAUUGAGUUUUAAUUUGUUCUUGUAAUAGUUCCCCUUUUUCCAUACGCAGUGUUGUGUUUUUGAUCAAACUAUAGCAUCAUUCGAUGAUCUCAAAGAACAUCUCCUUGAGUCAGCAGCUGAAACAACUUUCUGAAGUCUAGUGUAGUUUUCUUUACACUGUCACUAUUUCACAUCCUUAGGAAGUAUUGUAUCUUUAUUUCUAAUUCAGGAAGUUGUCCUGGUUUGAGAAGGAGUGCCUGAUGUUGGCUGUAGAGAUAGAAUGAGCAACAGAGGAAGAAGUGGUUCCCACCAAGUAUAUUCAGAAUGAAUGACACAGAGUCAUGGAGGGAAGAUAUGCUAUCGGAAAUGAAAUAAGAAGGGAGAGGAGGAUUGGUUGCCAUCAUGUAUUGUAUAACAAUGAUGUCUAUAACAAUGCUGGGUUUUCCUGCAUAGACUUGAAAGGUCCUGUUGAAAAAUAUUUUGAAGAAGAAUUUAUGAAAAGUGUUGGAGAAGCUGUAAGAUCCUGGAUUCUUUUAUGUUAAUCAAGCCUUCUUGUCUCUGAUUGGUAGAUCAAGAUGUCUUCUGGUGCACUUCUAUUUUCUCAGCAGGAGAACGAGACUGCACAAAUGAGGCAAUUUAGGGUGAUACAUCCAUGUAUGGCAGUAACUGCAAUGAGGUCACGUGUUUGGAGCAUCAGAAUGCAGUUAUUCAGCGACUUAAGGUCCAAUUCCACCAGAAAAUGUUCAAGUAGAUGUGGCUUAGCUUCCAAUUUUGGUAUAUGAAAGUUUUGAUUCUUACCCUUUCUUUGGAUGACAUGUUUUUGCCUGUAAGUGGCCAUAGGAGUUUGAACUGAAUGCCUGGUUAGAAUGGAUCAUCGUUGCCAGCAUUGCGAGCAGGUGAGGGGAAGCAUAUGUUUUAAGAACACUUGAAGUUUCUGAAGCAGGUAUGUCACGCUAUGUAGAAGUUUCCUAUUAGUAAGUGAUGGACUUUAAGAUGUCAUAGGAAGAAGGGGAGCUGUGUAUUUGAGCUUGUUAUAGCAUUUAGAUUGGCUGCGGUCCAUUAAUUGCAGUUUGAGCCAGUAGAAAAGCAACUCAUCCCACUUGACUUGAUCGGGUUGGAAAUAUUUACAGCAGGAGAUGCUAAAGACCAUAUAGGAGCACCUAGGCAUUUUCAUUGGCUUCAUCGAGUACUAUGCCGAAAAGGGACCCUGGCAAUUCAAGGUUUUCACUGAGGCCAUUGAGAGCACAAAUUCUUGAUUUUGAUAAAGACAUUAUCCUCCUAAGAAAGAGAAGAUGCAGCAAUCAAUCAGAUUUCCAGAGGAAACAUCCAAAAAUAAUAUAGCUUUCCCAAGGGCAAGACAGUGGUAAUGGCUCUGCCCAGAAGUUCUAUAACGGCUGUGAGGAUCAUGCCAUGGAUAACGCCAUGAUCAUGAGUUUGAUGCUUUACAGUUUUAAAAAUGCGAUCUUUGAUAUGGCUGUGUUUUCAGGUUGUCGUGAACAAAUAACGUGACCUCGCUUACUACCUUUGAGAGUAUUUAGUUCUCAGAGUUUCACACAACCAUGAUAGAUGCCUGAGUUUUGGUUGGCUUCUGAAUCAAGAAAUAUUCUCAGGAAUCAGAUCGAGGAAUGUGUUGUUCAAUCUACUUGCUGUGACUUUUAAAUGCAAAAAAGAACCCCUCAUAAUAUUUACAUUUAUAGGGUGCUAACAAAGCAGUCCCCAAAAAUAAGGAUUUAAAUGAUUACUGAAAAACAUGAAAUCUUAUUGGAUAGAAUCUAUUCAUACCUAUAAAAAUUGUGGUUCCCGUUAUAUUACAUUAUGUCUUGUAAAUUUUGGUCCAGCAAAAAUUUUAAGAUGAAGUAUAAAGUUUGGAUGACCUUAAAACUUCAAAUAUACAAAAGGCUGGCCUCACUUUAUAUGGAGUGGAUCCAAGUUGUUUAAAAACAAAUCUAGUGAAUAAAUCAUGAAGAUUGCCUCUUUCAUCUUGAAUGGAAUCUUUGUUGGUCUGACUCUAACGCUAGACAAUACGCAACCUUCUAUGGUCUGGAAGGAGCCUUGGGUCACGUUUGAGAUGCACAUAUUGACAUUGAUUGGUCAGCUAACCUUUAAGGUCUUCUAGAGGCCCAACUGAUUUUCUUGCUUCACUGAGUAUAUUACAUGCAUCAACUAGGGGCUACAUCAACCAAAGGAAUCUUUGUGUUGGUGUGACUGAUUGUUCAUCAGCUUCCAUUAUGAGGAAUCUUUGAGUGAUAGUUUUGACUGAUUGCUCGUCAGCUUCCAUUAUGAUGUCUUCCUCAACAAGGUAGUCAGUAUUGGCUCAGGUCUUGCAUCAGUCUUCCAUGACACUGCUAGGAUUUUUUUAUUCCCUUUUUUGAACAUAAAACUUUUUAAACUUUUUCUGAGGGAAGCUGGGUUCCCUGCCUUGCAGACAUUCUGCUCGUUUAGCUUUGAACCUGACCUAAAUGGCAAAGAUGGAGAGACUAGCUAGUUUUGACUAUAUAACACACUUGACUGCAUUGCACGACUACCUUGUUAAGUUUCAUCACCUUCCAAAAUCAAUAUCAUAAGCUUUAGUUGUUGCCCGGCAAAUUAUUAUCCUGCUCGGUGAAUUCCAAUCCAAUCAAGUAAAUGUUGUGCACCCACUGCAUUAUGCCCAUAUCCAACCAGGAUACGCUGAGCAUUGGUAAGUGAAGUGUACUGCUGUUAGUAUAUCCAUUGAAUGAUAAAAAGCUACAGAUGAUUAUUUUGAUUGAUUUCAGUUGGUUAAUUGUUCGCUAAACAAAUUGUGCAAGUCCUUAUAUUGGUGCAUAAGAACAAAUUAAAAUCCAGCAGGACUGGGCUGGAGUUCAGCUGCACAAAUCUCCUGCAUAUAUUGUGCUGCAGUGUUGGAUCCUCUUCCUUUGUCCUGCCUAUGAUUUACUUGAACUCAUUCUUAUGCACCAUGAUGAAGAAAGAACAGGAUGAAGAUAUCAGAGAUGCAUUUUGAGUUCUUGAUUUAAUUUUUACUGUUAGUGUAGACUUGAGAAAUUCUGUUUAAAGGGUGAUUGUGUUGAACUAGUUGCAAUUCUUGUCGAUAGACAAGGUAAUUUCAUAUGAAAUGAGCAAUAGGUGGAUCUGUGAAGAAGUAGCUAGAAAUGAAUACAUCAGCUAAAGAAUAAGAAUAUCAUCGGUAAGGAAUAAAGUGCUGGAGAUCUGAUUGCGAUGUUGUCAUAUACAGCCGGCCGGAUUGCGGGGUGGGAGAAGGAGAGGUACUUUGAAUUCGUAUUAAAGUGCUCAAAAAGAUAAGGGAAGGGAACCCAAGAAAAUCUGCGGGCUGGAUUGAGAUUCUUAGCAAGGAGAUACUGAAAAUCUUCAAUGCAGCAUGUCUGGUCCAACUUGUUAGCAUCUUGCCAUUGCCAAAGAAGAAUCUGCUUGAUUUUUGGUAAGAUGGAUUGAGCUGUUGUUGUCAAUUAGAUAUGGAUUUACAUCAACUCUGCUUAUGUUUGCAUGCAGACAAUUCAACCUCCCUUUUAUUCAAUUCAGUUAUUUCUCUCUCUAUAUCUGGUGUCUAUUGCCAUAGACUUUGUUUAGACAUGAACCUAGUAGGCUACCCCUUUCUCUCUAAUAUUUUUUCCUAAUGGUUCCCUAUUUGCGAAAUAAUUCAAGCGACCGUUUGUAAGAAAGAUUUCACUGACAUUUCUAGAUGAAAUGCCCUGUUUGGAUGGCCCGACAAUUGGCCUCUGUUUGGAUGGGUGUCGGUUAUCCAUGGAUAACCUCGCGCUGCGGUGAAAACAAGUGGCUGCGGGCAUUGGAAGAGAAGAAAGUACAUGGAAGUGGAGAAGAUUGGUCCUUGGUUUUCAGAUAUAAGAUGUCUUGAUAAAACAUUGAUUUAUCUUAUCAUUAGAAGACAGGACAAGUUUGUUUCUACUCGGAAAAACUCUUCCCUUCCAUACCUCCCCUUGCAUGGGUAUCCAAGCAGGCCGGGCCCUAGAUGUCUGAGGUUCCGGUUUGAGUACUUGAAUGCGCGAGUAAACUAAUGAUGGUGCGUAUUAUGUUUCUUGCUAGUAACGUGCUUCCGCAGGAUGGUGGUGCAAGGAGUAUAUAUUAAACAAUCAAAACAUUAAGAUAUCUUUGAUUAACAAAGAUCAUGAUGCUUCUUUCCUUCUCCAUCUUGACUCGCAAAUUUCCACCAUCCCUGCUUUCCUUUGGGGUUUUAGAUACAUUGCUCGUCCUUGCGGCCAGUAGGUGUUCUCAUGAAUUCCAUCUCAAAUCUAUUUUCCUUUUUCUAUUUUGCUGUAAAACGAUCUCCUGCUCCGUUAAGGCGCUUACUUCACACCCGACACUCGCCUGCCAAUCUUCUUGCAUGGAGCAUCACUCCCUGUCGUGGACAAAGUAGGCCCCUGCUGAGGCCUCGUUUGCCCCCGUUUCCCCUAGCCACUGACCGAUGUAUCGGAACCCAUUUGCCUCCCAAAAUGAUAUGUCUAUCGAAAAUCUUUGUAACAUUAUUUAUUAUUGUUGCUGUUAUCAUUACUUCAACUCCUCCCAAGAUUAGCUGGAUCAAACGCAUCUUCAGAUAAAAUCCCUAGAUGAAAUCAAAGGCCAGAAUUUCUUCAAUAAAAAUACCCAAGUUGCUUAGCAGUAAUUGCAAGCAAAUCAUCCUGGAUUAUGAAGGGCAUCUGUCAGGUAUUCAGAUCUAUUAACUACAUAUACACAGGAAAUUUUCAAUCUCAAGGCUUGGCCACCGCGGUACAUGAUUUAGAGACAUUUUAAUUUGCGAAGGAAGGCACAGCUAGCCUUUAAUAUUCCUUUCAUCUAUUGCUAAUGAAGGCUUUCAUGUGCGCCAACAUCUCAUGGGUCCGGGCUUGGGACAUAUGAUGGUUGUGGAGAACUUGGAAGGCAUGCCCCACUCCGGCAUACAUCGCUUGUUCCACACUCUUCCCUGCUCUCCUGAGGGCCUUGCAGAACUCUAGAUUCCUGUCUCUCAAUAUGUCCAUCUCCGAUACGCACACCAGAAGAGGAGGAAGCUUCAAGUCCUCCAGCCUCGGGGCGCCCUUCGCCAAGGGAUUGCACCACGGGUGGUCACGGUUGCAGCCGAAGGGCAGCGCCAACCUCCAAUAACAAUCCGACGUGGUCAAGCCGAGCGCUGAUCUCGAAGAUUGCACCAGGUCCUUCUCCGACGCAGUUCGUGCCUCGCCGCCGAUGAAAGGUUGGAUGAGAAUCACUCCUCUGAGGCAGAUCGGCUUCAGGACGGACUCGGGACCGCCGAGAGAUCCCAGCUGCGCGGCCACGUUGUGCGCUAUGGUCGCGCCGGCGCUGUCGCCGCCAAGAAAAAGUCGAGCGAAGUUGCAGUGCAUCCUCCACCAGCUGAACUCGUCGGAGCCGCCAUAGCUUGCUUGCUGCCUCACCCACCUCGUCGCAGCGAGGCCAUCCUCGUAGGCCGCAGGAAGGCGGUUCUCCGGCGCCAGGCGAUAGUUCACCGACAUGAUGAGGCAGCUGGCUCUCGAGGCCAGGCGAGCCAGGAAUUCGUGGUAGCAGCUCCAUGCAGCAGAGCCGACGCAGAACCCGCCGCCAUGGAAGUACACGAGCAAGGGCAAGCGCCCUUGGGCCUUGGGCACGUAGAACCGAGCCCAGACGCCCGUGGAAUGGCUGAUGACCACGUCCCUGCUGGUAACGCUGGCCUCGGGGGCCCAAGUGCACGGCACGUCGGAGACCGCCGGGAGACGAUCUACGUGACCAUUCUUGUAGACCCUGAUGAGCCCUACAAUCUCCUCAAGUACAGCUCCAUGAUCCUUGCCUGCUUGAUGGUUGAGCCUUGAGUCGCCCAGGGAAAGGACGCCCAUUCUUCUCCUCAUAAAAGAUACUGAUGGAAUUACUCCAAGAAGGGGAUGAUCUUGAUCUAUCUCCCAAUCCAACGCCCUCGGGGGGGCUUAUUUAUAAAGGUGGGGGUCUGACCCAGGGGUCAUGGGAAGCACGAUGAGGAAACGUUCGGAUGCAUCUGAAGUGCUUGGCUCCUCCUAUCCUUUGCUGCCAAGUGUCCGCGAGGCUCUGCCACAUGUGAGCAAGUCCUGCGAUGGAAGGAGGUCCGACACUCCCUUUCAGAAGUCCUGCAAGGCUUAGUCAUCUACCAAUUAAUACCCGCAAGUGGGGGUGGGUGAAGGGCAGAAAACCCCACCAGACGCCGGCCGGCCACUGCCUAAUUGUGUCGAAAUCCGGACACUUCCGCCUUACAAAGUGCAAGAGGAAGCAAUAUUAUUAUUUACUUUAAAGUAUUGGGUUAAUGGCUUGGCAUUGCCGUCUCAUACUUGUCUUUCACGCUUCAACCAAGAUUGUCGAUGCACUUCAGAGUCUUGUCAGCACUGCAAAUGGGCCACAGCUGGAAUGCCGUAUAUAUAUAUAUAUAUAUAUUUGCAACAGGCCAAGUGGCAGCUUCUGAGAUGAAGUCUAGGGUUGAAGGGCAAAAGGUGAUGAGGACCCUGGUUGGGUUUUCUUCGAGGAACCCACCUUGAGCGACACGAGUAUGGUUCCAAUAAUUGUGGGCUGGUCUCCAUGCCUCAUCCUAUCUGAAUUCAGUCGGGACUAUUAAAAAGCAAAUAUUCUCAGGUCAAACCUUGGAUCAUGGAGAGCAUAACAAUGCCAAGUUGCCAAUUUGAGAGACACUGACUACAGGUUGGUCAUCACCGUGGUCAUGUUGUUUGCCUUGUGUUUUCCUUCAGACUGACCUCGUGAGCAGUUCUGUGUGGGCUUGUUUUAUUAGUUUUCAUUGUGAAUUAUCAUGCUUGGCUACUCAAGUGUUGGUUCAUUCAGUAACAACGAUGCCUGAAUAUGGUCAUUCGUCCUCUCAUGAAUUCAUUCUCUCGCAUAAGGAUGGUCUUAUGACGGUGGCAUGAGUUUGUGGAACCAUGCUUACAUCCUUGGCCGUGCAUAGAGAUUGAAUGCCAACUUGGUGUUGUAUGCAUGCAUCCUUGCAUUUCUCAGAGUUGCAGCAACUUUAUUCCGACCGAAUGUGGGCUGAGUGGUUUUGGAUGGAAGUAUUCGACGUUUUCUCCCUUUGUGUAAACAAAUGAUGUUGACCUAGGAGUCAAACAGUGUAUAAAAGUGUUAUUUUGGUUUUGUCGUUUACUCUUUAGUUGCUUCACUUAGAAGCGCGCCAAGACAUCGUUCGUUGAUCAAAAAAUUUCGCGUAGAAUAAAUACCAUACCCUCCUGUAAUUAUUGAGAAUGUAGAGAUGUCUUGUCUACACCUUGGGAGGCUAUAGGACAUGACCAUCCUGUUUAGGAUGUCACCCUUUGUUUUUGCUCUGGCUUUAGAAUGUCACCUAAGUAAAACAACAAAAUAGCUCUUUCAUUAUUCAUUUGAUUAAGAUUAAUAUUAUAAAAUAUUAUGUAGGUUCAAAAAAAAAACAUUAUUUCAUGUAUGCAAUGCAUAAAGGCAAAAUGACAUAAUUGUGGGUGUUAUCAUUGUUUGAUAUCACAGCUAAUAAUGGUCAAUAUAACAACCUUUUUUUGUGUUUGAAGUUUUCUCUUGAUGAUCUUUGUUUAUUUGAAUUCUUUUUCAUGCCUUAGGAGGACUUAAAAUUUCAUAUAGAAUAAAUAUCAAAAGAAAAGUGCACCAAAAGAAUGAAUAAGACAAAGAGAAAGAUAUCAUAGAGAAUCUUUUAUUUAAUUUGAACUCAUGUACUAUUGAUUUAUCUAAUACAAGUAAUUGAGAAAAACAAGAUAAAAUAAGAUGGGUUUAAAGAAGGAAUGAGAUUAGAAAAAGGAGAACACUCAAGCAUUUUUAUACACCAAAAUCAAGAUACACUGUAGAGUAGAUUAAAUCUCCACAUUACAUAAAAAUAUAAGUUCUAAUAUAACAGGUUGAAAUAGCCUAUUUGGUGAAGAGACUGCGAUAAAUCCAUCCUAGUCGUGUGUGAGAACGUGAGAGACCCAUUGAAGUCUUCUUGCUAGCUUUUAUAAAGCAAUAAUUUUUCAUGCUUAGUAAUUCUCUUGAUGCAGUUCUUUGUAUGAUUGACUUCUCAUUCAUCUAAAUAACUUCCUUCGGAAAGUUAAUUCUAGCAAAAAAAAAACCCACUCAUACAUGGUCUUUUAUAUAAGUGACAAGUAGCUAAACUAGUCUUUCCAAUUAUCAUAUAUAAAUUAAUUAACUAAUUAAAUUUUGACCAAUCUAAUAUUUUUGAUCCUUUUCUAUAAUUUAUCUAUAACCAAUUAAUUUUUAAGUGUAAACAGUGGAAAAUAAACAAUAGUUUGAUUAAAAGGGGCUCAUCAGUUGCCUAGGGGCUAUAGGCAGCUACCUUGUCCCCAGGCAGUCACGGUUGAGACCUACUUGAGCCAAUCCAGAGACUCGGACACCCUUUCCCGCGGUAAUAGUUUGUUUAGAACAUCAUAAUAGCCCUUCCUGAAACCAUGGUAAUACUGGAUUGUGUUCCCUUCACAAAUCAUUACUAUAACUUUUCUUUUAAAAAUGGUGAGGAUGACAACCAAUCUUUCUAGGGAUCAAUACAAAGAUUGCUAAACCUAGUGGGUCGGUUGUCUCAGCACAAUAACCCGCGAUAUUUUAUUCCAUCCCAGCUUUCCAGUGUACCUUGCUUUUCACGUGUCUUAGUGGACCGAAACCAGAAACUGGACAUACUGCAAUUGCAUGCAUAUCAUGGCCAAUAAGAACAUCUUGUUAAGAAUAACAAGAAGUCAGACAAGCUUCGAAUUCACCUCACAUCCAAGGAUAGAAGAUGAAAGCCGAAGUAGUAGCAGAUUAAAAUAAGAGACAUGGAGUCGUGUCCUUCCUUUUUACUUCUGACACUAUAAAAAUUGUUCUAUCGGUCGGUACAAGAAAGUUAAACCCGUCGCUCAGCCAAGCAAGCAGCGUAGGUCAGCAUCAGUAGCCUUAGCCUUAGUUGAUUCACAAGAUACGCUCGAUCUCAUGACUUGAAUUGUGCUGAUUGCAUGGCAUCUGUACGAUCGUGCUCACGCCUUUGGGAACCAUAGAUCAUGCUCAGCAUGUCACUUUGAAUUAUAAAGCUAUUCGAAUUUUUUUUCGGAAUGGCCUCCCAGGGGAAUAUGGAAAGAUGGCACCAAACCAACUUAUCUGACGGGCGGUUGGGCCAUUUUUCACACACUCUCUCUCUCUCGUGAGACGACCAAAGAAUUGGGUCAAAAAGAUGACUACGAGAAAGUGGGAAUAUGGAAAGGAUAAAGAUAUCAAUCCGGUACUUAUCAAGAAAAGAUAGCAAUCCUGUCGAUAUAUUCUUGGUAGCAUGUUGACGGAACUACGUCGCUUCUCAACGAAUACAGGAAUCUUAAUUAGUUUGAGAAGCUUUUCUUCGUUCCCUGGCUGCUGUAACACUCCCUAUAAAUUAAUGGAAGAGAAAGCACGCACGCCGUGCCGACUUUGUUCGCUUGUUAGCACGUCCAUUUCCUGCUCGAAAGUUCCAAUGUCACUGCUGAUCUCCCAUUCCUUCGAUUACAAGUGCUUCUGAUCAACCGCGAGACACGUUAGGUGGAAAUAACAGUGGGCUGCUCCAACUUGUCACACCGCAUAAAUCGUAGGCUAUGGUCGAAGUUGCAUCUGGAAUUUAGGAUGGGUCUUGCUUGCUGGAAAACACGAUUCAGAUCAAUAACAAGCAGACCAUUCACCCGAGUUUUUCAUCUCAGGCUGACAUGUAACAAGAAGUUAAAUCGCCUUCAGCUAUGUAUUACCUUAAAAUCUCUGCACGAUGAAGCGCUGCAUGCACACUGCAAAUGGUUACAUGAAAGCAUACAGCACCAGGAUCCAUCCGUAUUCGGUUGUCGAAUGCUGUUCGAGAUCACUGGAAUGACAGCAAGGUGAAACAAUAAGAAAGAGAUCUAAUUUAUUCUCAAAAAAUAGAAAAAGAUUUAAUUGAAGCAUUCCCUUUUUUGCCUUGUUCUCAGUUUCCAAGCAUUGUAAGCAGCAUUGUGUCCUCUAGCAUGUUCUCUUCAUGAACAGAGUCUCAAUCUCGUUGCAUUUGGCAUGACUCGAUAUACGAUACUGUACCAUAAAAAAUCAGAGUCUGAGAAACUAAAUAUGAAAACACAUACGUCGUUUCAGUCCUUUCCAGGCUUCUACCAAACAACACAAAAUGGGCCAGGAUAUUCCAAUGUAACAGAUGAUAUGUUAACUCUGCAAUGGAUGCCAAAAUGUAAAAGCUGCUUAGAGCUGACUUCUGUCCUUUCUUUCCCGUUCAAGCAUGUGAUAUUUUCUUCAUUUCUUCCAAGACAUUGUCACUGGUACUGCCAACAAGAAGGAGAAAAAUAGUCAUAAUUCUUCCAAAGAAAAACGACUGAAGGUUUUUGCAGUAUUUCACAUUUGCAGAGGAGCAGACUUGUAUGGACUACUUAAGGACAUACUGCAUAAACGAGCACACAACCAAGAGGAAACAGCAAGAAGCAUGAGAGGUAAUGUUCGAGAACAGUGCAAGGAUAGUCCAACUCCAGUUCAAUGGAGAAGAGACAUCUGUCAAAUAAGAAAAAACAAUUUGGUCAGAGAAACGAGGGUAUUUAUACAUUUUUAAAAGCAAUAAACUUAAAGAUCAGAAACCCACAUCCUUUAACUAUUAGAUACUGAACAAUGGAAUUCCAAAAUGGAAAUAGAGUAGCUUUGCAUAAAUCUGGGAAGAAAAUGUUUGCAAAAUUUUGGGACCCAUCUCACAAAAACUGAAAAAUCUAUGACUUUAAAAAUGUCUGAUAAACAAAUAAAAGAUAAAUCCAAAAUACUCGGAUGAGUUCUACCGAAAACCUCGUUGACAGAUCUACUAACCAGACAAACAUCCAUGGGAUUUCAAUGCACUUACUAUUUGUGAUCUUCCAUGGAGCUAAUCGUCAUAGACGUCACUGUAAGAUGUCCAAAUAUUUUGGAUUUGUAAAACAAACCUACUGUUUCACAAAUCCAUCUAGGUGGGCAUUCAAAUGCAUAAAACACCAUAUUGCUCAGGCACAUGUGUCACACAUACAACCCCUCAGCACAUUUCAAAACCCUAACUAUAAGCCCCUUCAGCUCCCUUCAAAACCUUAAAUACAUACCUCUUUAUAAAAAUUUCUGUUAUACAUAAUUUUACAGGUUAAAUUUGAGGCAAAUCCUAAUGAAGCAAAACUCACAGUGGCCCAUCUAAAUUGAGAACCCACACAAAUAAUCAUAAUGGACAACAUCUAAAAUUUGCAUAAACCAAAACCAAAUAUCAAUAUAUAGGUGGUUUCUUAUCCAUGGAUCAGCAGACAAAAUGAAGUGGUACUAUUAGUGUUAGGGUAUGAAAAUGCAAGCUGCAAGCUAUACCAUACAAAUCAAGAAUUUAUAAAACUAAUAAUCAUAAACACACAGUCGAAAAAAAUGCAGACCGAAAUUCAGUAGGCUGGGAUAUAGAUGACAUAAAACUGCCUAAUCUUAUUCUAAAUUUAUUCUAUUUAGUGACGUCUUUAUUCAUGGGUAAGAAGGCUCCCUCUCUGUCUCUCUGUGUGUGCAUGUGUCUGUGGUUUCUUCGCAUACCAGAUGCUGAAAAUCAUGAUCAACAUAACAAACUCUAAAUUUUUCACAGCAUCAUUUUCAACAGUAUGAUCUGGAUCUGGACUGUUUAAUCUGUACAGCUCCAAUUAUGGAGUUCAGCUCUGCAGGAAGAUCUCCUGACUCGCCAGACAACCAGGUGUAAAAGAUAAUAAAAGAAAACUUCUUGAUUAGCCUACUAGCAGGUAACUAGUCGAUCUAACUUAUUUAGAAGUACAGCUAGAGAUGCAACCUUGGAUCUGGUUACAGGUACUUCUAAUAUACUAAUACCACAAGUCUCAGCCACCAACUUGCCUUCCAAGCCCCUCAAACAUGUUUGUCAACAAGGAGUCCACUUCCACAUAAAGCUUUGAUUCUUCACACCUUCAUUUAAUAGCUGCUGUAUUAAGCAAGCUUAAGCUUUUGCAUCAAGAGAAUUAAUUCCAUGAUCCAUCAAAGAGUAAAAAAGUUUUCACAAGCACCUCUAACCAUAAUGCCUAGGCCCACAAGACCAGACCUACUUAAAGGACCACAUUAUGUUAAUCUUAAUCCAUUGCCCUUUAAGAGACUUCUAUUUUAAACUUGCUUUUUCUUGCCCAAUAAGGACGGAACAUAGUCCCAGCUCCUCUAAGGUAUUCCUUUCCUCCUAUAGUGCAAUUUGUAGUAUACAUUUAGACUUCCGAAAUCACUAGCUUGCAGCAGAGUGUUUCUCACUGACCAAUUAGUUGAUCCUGUUUGCUCUUUUCAAAGCAUCCAACAAGCCUAUCCCAUGAUUGUUCACUCAUAUUCUUCAACAAGAAUGUUCCUGAAGUCUUUUAUGCUUACAAUUUCAGCAAGCAAGUCUUCCAUCAUCUUCAUAUUUGCUAUCCUUAACCAUCUUGAGAUAAAUCCUAGAUUCCUUGGUGUAUGAGCAUUCCUCUAGGAUAUACCAUAUGCUCUCAGGUGGGGCGUUGCAUCUGGAACAGUGGGCAAUGUAAGAAACUUCCUGUCAUGUAACAGAGUCAUUGUCAAAAAUCUUCCCAACAAGACUACCCAAAGGAGAUUCCAUAGAAUCUUCCUUCUAAAUUCCUUCAUUUGGAGUACUAUCUGGAUCAGCAACAGCAAAAUAAGCUACAGACCGACAUCAUCCUCACAUGUUGGUAUUGCACAUGAAUUUGCCUCAAGUUUAGGUCUUUCAUGAUCAAUUUUCUUCCAUGGUUAGAUAAUGUAUUCCCGUCCAUGAAUUUGUGGAUCUUUUCUCAAUUGCAAAUAUGAGAGCUUUGAAAAUGUAUCUGCUCAAGGCACCAACCAAUAAUUUGCUCCCUACCAACUACAUGGCUUCAGGUUUCUCCCCUGCUGUUCAGCUGUAAAUUUACUAAAAAGGAAAGUAAAGUUCUAAUAUGUUGUGAUAGGUACGCAUCAUGAUACGCUUCAAAGGUAAAGAUUUUUGAAGCAAAGGUAGACUCAAUAUAAAAAAGAUGACAUUUUAAAUGAAACUCUUCCAUAUAAACUUCUUUAGGGAUACAUCCAUCAUAAGAUGGAUUUGAUGAACCCCACCCUCUUAUCCUUCCUCCAAUAAGAAGAAGAGAACCAUAGCAUGGUUUGCCGUACCAGUUGAUACCAAUGCGUAUUGGUACCAAACCAAUACGCGGUAUGAGGGGUGUACUGAGUGUCGGUAUGUGGGCUUGCUUUUCCUGCUAUCCCACUAAGCUUUCUUGUUCCAUGCCUUCUGCCUCUGCGUACCGUUUGAAGAUUUCUUAUCCUUUUAAAUGCCUUUGCUGGAGCAAUCCUUAGUGUCAGAAGCAAAGAGUCAACGAAGAGCACUUCUCCUUGCAGAUCGGACAAAUUCAACAAACAAUCUUUAUUUGUUGCUCCCAGUUAUGGGGAAUUAUUUGUUCAAAAUUCCAAUGCAUAUUACAAAAAUCUUUUGUUGAUUAUCUGACCUCUGUACCGAACGUACCGACAUAGUAACAAGAUGGUACCGGUACGGGCUCCAGUACCGAAAUGGUGAAUUUGAAACCAUAAAUAGAUCAACCUACCAUUAACACGCAAGCAACUUAGAUUCUUAUAUGAGAAACAAGCCAAAAGGAGAAAAGAUUAAGCUUGCUAUAGCUUAAACUAGUGUAAGCAAACAUGUAACGGCAAAAGCACAAUCAUAGGACACAUUGUAUCGACAAAAUGAUAUUUACAAAAGGACCAUCCGACAUGUAAAACAACCGAGGAAGCCUUAUCAAUGACAAAAAUUCAAUUUUGCUCCUCCACGGCAUGCAUAUUAAGAUAUACACAUAUAUAACAAUAUGAAAUCAACCAAAAUUAGUAUCCAGGAGCCAACUCAUAUGAAAGUGAAUUCUGGUCUUAUAGACUUAAACCAUAUGAACUUACUAUUGAUGAAGGCAUUCAUUUAGCUCGUUUGCUUGUUUACAACAAUACCAAACUACUGAUAUAGUUCUUCCCACAGCACAUUCAGCAUACUUUGCAGAGCAAUGGUCGCAUUCUUUGUGCUUUUUGCUUCAUUUUGCUGCCUAAAGCUGGAAAUAUCACAUCAGUCAACGGCCACAAAAAUGAUUUGCAAUCAACUACUAAGUUGACACUAUAGCUAACUUGUAUCUUCUCUUGCAUUACCGCAAACAAUAACAGGACUUUUAACAGACUAAGUUGCAUUCCUUUUCACAUCCCAAUGGAAAUGUAAAAUCUAUUGUAUAUUCUAUGCAUUUUCUUUUACCAAAAGACAACUGCUUUUAGCUGUUUCACCAUGACCACAAGAUGGUAUAGUUGAUCAUUUGAUGCAUUAGCAGCAUGGCUAGGAUGAGCUAAAUUUAGACAUACAACAAUCACUCAAAGAUAAAUGAUCUUUCUCUUUACGAUAUUACAAUUUCUUAGCUUCGUACCUGCUAAUGAUAAUUUACAUUCUACACUAUCUGAGCGAUCAUUAGUCACAAGUGCAAAGUAAUUUUGGGUCAAGUUGAGUUAGCUAAAUGGGAUAAGUAGACUAUCUUCUUCAUGUUCUUCUUUUUUAAUAUGUCACCUAAACCGUUUUAUAUUAAACAUAUUAUCACAUGGGAUUUCAUUACUAUUUUUUCCUUUUUUUUCUUGUUUCAUGGGAGUUUGGCAUUGGUUUGAGUCGGGUGAAGGUAAAGCAUGGUGUGUCAGGUAAGGCAGAUCAUACCAAGAUUGGCCAAAUUGAAUAAGGGCGUAAGAUCAAGAAGGGUUAGGCAGGUCAGAUCAUGCCAGUUUAUGUCAAGCAGGCUACUGGGGGUUCAACUAGAGGGUGGGUUAGGAUUGUGCAACUUGAUUUAAUGUCAAGUCAGGUUGGAUAAGAGUCAAGCUUUUGUAUUUUAUCAUUUCAAUUAGACCCAGCUAAGCUAAGCUCCACCCAACCCAUUGGCCCUGCUAGGGUUGAUGUACAGAGGAUAGAGGGGCAUAUGGAAAUUAUGAAUGUGAAGUACCUGACAUGAAGCCCAUAUUAGAAGAUAUAAACUGAAGGUGUAAAUGUGAUAAGAGACAAAAAGAUAGAAAGGACUAGGAUGAUGACCAAUCAUAGGGGAAGCAAAAUAGUAAGGGAAGGAGGUCACCAGAUCAAGGAAUCCACCACUAAGCAGGGUUUUCGUGCAGUAUUUUGCACCUCAUAGAUAAAGGAUGAAACUGGAGAUGCCCCAACCAACCAACCAAAUACUACAAAUAUAAGAAAACAGCAAAGAAUGAGAAGGAAUCAUAGAGGCAUGCAGCAGCCUCUGAACUCAGCCAAUCUAAAUCAAACUCUUGUUUUUCCGACUAGGAGCCUUCUUUUAUAUGCCUCUAGUUUUCUUGUGGUGUUGUUAGGAAAGGUAAGCUAAGAGUAGAUGUGAUAUGAGGGAGACUAAGAGAGGAGAAAGAAGAGAGAAGUUCGGAUAUAGCAUUAUGACAAAUGAAAUGGUCCUAAAAACCCAAUCCAUUAACUAUUCCUAAUAAAAGAUUAUCAAUAAGGCUCUCAAAUAAAUGUGGUGGGCAGCAUCCCUUCCAACCUUUCAAAUAAGGCAAUAUGGCAUUAAGGGUGCAUGUACUUAUAAAUGCACCAACGAAAUUGCCACAAUUUCUAUUUAACAGCACAAAUGCUUUAUUCCCCCAACUCUACUGUUUGUUAGUUUUGACUUUUCAUACAAAUCAUGCUGUCGCCUGGUACAAACUCUUCUUCUUUCACAUUGUUGUGGAGAAACCAAGCUGAAGUAGCUUCUUAUAAACACUCCCCAGGACCGUCAACGGACAUGAAAUCAAUUAAUCCCCUCGAAGCAUGCACUAGGUUAAUAAAAACCCAACCCCAAUAAAGGGUUAAAAGCUAACCUACCGUCCUGCCCAUUCACUUUUGUUUGCCUUAGAGGGUUAUGUCUCCCAAUGCUCGGUGUACUCUCCUCAUUGUCAACAAUGAUCAAACCGUGAGCUUCUAGUGACCAUUUUGUUUUAUCCAAGUGCUAAAACUCCUUGCAUUCUACAAUUUGAAACCAAAUUUACGAAUUCAAUAACAUCAUAAAAUCAGUAGGCAUACAUAACAAGAAAGAAACGAGGAUUAAAAAAUCUCCGCAACCAGUGCCAUAGAUCUCAACUAUCGGGAACACCAACAAAUUUGACUCGUUGACCUGUAAGCAGCAAAACCAUCAUAUCCUAAGCAUCUGAAGUUCAUAAAUCCAUACUGAGAAACUCUAAGAGAUUCGGUUUUUUUAUUAUUAUUACCUACCCAUAAGAGAAGGAAAAGAAAAAUCACAGAAAAAUAUGAUCAGUCAGGCUUGCAAUUGCAAGAACUUAGACAAAUGCAGUUCACCGAAUUUCUUUCCCUCCUUCCAUUGUAAAAGCAGGUACUAGUUACAGGAUCAAAAAAAAAUAGGAAUAUUGGAAGAGAAGUUCAGCGGGAUUGCUCUUCCUCCCAAAUUCCAGAUCCCAUCAUUUUAAAGAAAACUAAAAUUGGAAGUGGAGGGUUUUGGAAGCGAGAGCGGGAGAGUGGGGUGAGCUCCAUUACCUUCUUCCACCUUCUUCUUGACAUGGUUUUCUCUUGCCUCCCGGAUGUAUCCCAUCGAGGGCGAAGACAAGCCGAGCACUCAAGCGGGGAAGAAGGACGCGACGGCGUUCAUCGGAGCCGACCGAGGCCGUUCUCCGGGUGUCUUUUUUAACUCGUAAAAAGACUAGCGGGGUUGAGCCAGGCUUGUAUGAUGUGCGUGUAAGGCCCAAUUACAGCCCAAUUUGUUAUGUGUCAGUUAAUGAAAAGCCUCGUGCACGGUGACUCGUGGGCUGGAACACGGGCCUUCCUCCCCUGAUUGUUAUGAGAGACCGGUGCGUAAAGCAUGAGUCCUGUUUAAUAGAUUCGGAUGGAUCGUUGAAGAUAUUGAAGUAGGAAUGGUGUGAGGACCCAUGCGGGCAUGUGCUUAGUUCCAUAUCGAUUAUUCGCUGGUUAGAUCUUAGGUACUUAUAUAGAAUCAAAAAAUCCAAAUAAUAUUUUUCGGCUAGCCAUUUUGAAUGAGGUCCUAAAUUGUUAUAAAAUGGUACCAGAGCCAUUGUAAUCCGGCCCAUAAUCUAUAUGGACUAGGGAACAUUGUAAUACGGAUCCAUUGGGGUGAACCACGAGCCGAUCGUGGUAUUUGUGAUUAUAUUUAAAUAUAUUUGAACUCAUACCCUGACGAGGACGUCGGAACUUGAACGGGAUAAGUAUGUGAGGCCCCGUGCGGGCGUGUGUUUAGUUCCACAUCGGUAUUCACUGGAUAGAUCUUGGGUACUUAUACAGGAUCAAGAAACCCAAAUAAUACCUUCCGACUAGACAUUUUAGUUGGGAUCCUAAGUUGCUACAAAUGGUAAUGGAUGGUAUGGAUCAUAUAAAACCUACAUACCCCAUAGUAAAUUGCCACUCGUAUAUUGAAGAGUGAAGAGAUAUAGUCUAACACAGGAGCACAGUAGCAGGGUGCAUGAAACUUUAUAACACAAUCCACAUCGAUUGGAUUUCGGCAUUGCUGUCCACCGUUAGACAGUGGAAGAGGACCACGUAAAUUAAUUUUGCCUUGACAUUUGAAAUGCGGGCCUAGUAAUAAUGGUCUCCAUAAAAUCUGUGGAAAAUUGGGGAUGGCGUGUGGGUGUCGACAGAUUUUAGGCUCAUAAUGUAUUUGCUGUUGGAAGAACUGCAUGUUACUUCGUGAGGCUGGGAAUGAUCCCUCAAUUGACCAGCUGUACUGAAGAAUCCUUAUGUGCAAACUACAAAGUCGAGGUCGCCCUUUUAGUCAAGAUUAAGGCGAGUCUUCGUAACGGCGAGAAUGACUGCUCUUAUUAUGACAGUUUAAAAGGCCUUCAAGGCAUAUAUGCAAGAUGGACGUGAAAAAAACUAUCAUUAUCUAGUCAUAAUUCGGCAGCAAUGACAGUGAAAUAAGAGGAAUCAAGGCUGUUAUUCAACAAUUUUUUAUAGUUUAUAAUGAUAUAUAUUUUUUCAAUUCAGAACUAAUUUUCAAUUCAAAAAUAAUAUUUUAAUUUGUUGAUAUAUACAUAAUAGAAUUGUUCAACACGAAUGUUGUCUAUGCAUUAUUUUCUAUGAUGACUUUUGCGUUAUGAGCGAUGCUACAGCAUGCUGGUGAACUAUUUUUAAGUUCUACAUGAUAGUUAAGGAUUGAUGCAGUAACAUGGUCAGCGCAGGAGAUUUUUUCAAUUGAAUUAAGAAGCAAUAUAUAUACCAAUCUUUCUUUAGGAGAAGGAUUUUUUCCGUGAUUUUUCAGUAUUUAAUAACAUAUUUUUAUUCUGAAACAUGUAAUUCUUUAAAAUGGAAUUUUAAGCUUGAAUCCGACAAAUAUAGAUAUAGAAAUGUUAUAAUAAUAGACAAUAGUCUCAAACGUUUUAGUGCAAAAAGGAGUCCAUUAAUUAUUGUUUUUGGUUUUAUAAUACUAAUAUAGCACCAAAAACAUGAAAAAUAUUAUAGGCUAUAAUGCUAUAUUUAACAGUUAUUUUUAAAAAAAUAUAUAUAUUUCAAAAUUCUUUUUAAUAUUAUAUUAUAUCAUAUUAUACGGUUGCUACAGUAUAAUCCCAUAUAGAGGCUCGUAUUCAAGAAUGGCAUUUCACAAGUCUUUUAAGAUUCUAGAAUGAUUGUACGGGCGAUUCCUAAUAAUCUGAUUGAGAGAAGGAGGCGUGAGAAUAUGAAAUGGGUAGGGACGGAUUUGACCCAUAACGCCGUGAUUUGGGAUUACGUCCUUUCUUUCGUUUUCUAGGCAACGUGAACGAGACGGGACUGCGAUAAAUGACUACGCUCACGAGCAACUUCCUCGAAAGUGGAGACUGGAGACAAAUCCUAGCAGUCAAAUUCCCACCCAAAAGUUGAUGCCUUCGGCUCGCUCUACCCCGGGAAAACAUAAAGAAAGAAUCGUCACAACCUUUUCCUUCCCC